AUGCUGCCCCUCCAGAUGAUGAUGGUCCUGGUGUCCAUGUCUUUGGUUGUGUCCCCUUCAAUGGGCAUACCAACGGACGACAAGUGCAAGUGCCUCAUGUGCGUCUGCGACCUGGAUCCGCACCCGCUGCCGCCGGCAAUGCCGUCGCGCCACCCAGCGCCUUACCCGCCACCGUCGGAGCCAGAGCCAGAGCCAGAGCCAAAGCCUGAGCCACAGCCGGAACCAGAGCCGGAGCCAAAGCCUGAGCCUGAGCCACAGCCGGAGCCGGAGCCCGAGCCGAAGCCAAAGCCACAGCACUGCCCGCCUCCGCCGGAGCCUGUGCCGACGCCAGUGUACUACUACUACCCACCGCCGUCGGAGCCGGAACCAACGCCCGUGUACUACCUUCCACCGCCGGCUGAGCCGUCAUCAAAACGCGCACGGAACAAACUGCACUGGUCAGGAAGAGUUCCCAGGUAUACCAAUAUCAUGCCCUGCAUCACGUGGCACCUCACCGUAUGCAACAAGAGGUCCAAUCAAGAAUGGCGCAGCAUCGCGCACAAGUAUUGUAUCAAGAGCGAGGGCAAAGACCUUUCAAGAGCGAGGUCGAACAUCCAUCAGAACUGCAGCGUGAUCAAGACUGCUGCUCCCAAGACCAAGGCCACAAGGAAGACCCGGCAGGCACACAAGGCAUCGGAUCCCGACCGAUCAUCCGACACAGGCGUCGUCGAGGUCGAAUGCUCCUCCAUCUUCGGAGUCGGGGACGCUGGUUCUGUAACGGCAGCUGCAAGGGCAUACACAGCAGUUUAA
RNAcentral lists this ribosomal RNA (789 nucleotides) under Triticum aestivum (bread wheat). RNAcentral describes it as "partial small subunit ribosomal RNA". Lineage: Eukaryota; Viridiplantae; Streptophyta; Magnoliopsida; Poales; Poaceae. The record is from RNAcentral.